AACGAACGCUGGCGGCAGGCCUAACACAUGCAAGUCGAGCGAACCCUUCGGGGUUAGCGGCGGACGGGUUAGUAACGCGUGGGAAUAUACCCUUUGGUACGGAAUAGCCUCGGGAAACUGAGAGUAAUACCGUAUGUGCCCUUCGGGGGAAAGAUUUAUCGCCAAAGGAUUAGCCCGCGUUGGAUUAGAUAGUUGGUGGGGUAAUGGCCCACCAAGUCUACGAUCCAUAGCUGGUUUGAGAGGAUGAUCAGCAACACUGGGACUGAGACACGGCCCAGACUCCUACGGGAGGCAGCAGUGGGGAAUCUUAGACAAUGGGCGCAAGCCUGAUCUAGCCAUGCCGCGUGGACGAUGAAGGCCUUAGGGUUGUAAAGUCCUUUCAGAUGGGAAGAUAAUGACGGUACCAUCAGAAGAAGCCCCGGCUAACUCCGUG
RNAcentral lists this ribosomal RNA (433 nucleotides) under uncultured bacterium. RNAcentral describes it as "bacterial SSU rRNA". It matches the Rfam family "Bacterial small subunit ribosomal RNA", at positions 29 to 507 of the family's 1533-position model. The record is from RNAcentral.